AACUGAUGAAGAUGCCUUCUUCAAUUUUCGUUGUUUCUUUUUGGAAGCCUGGCCAAACGAAUCAGAUGUUCUUUUACAAGUUCCUUCCAAUUUAUCAUCCAACUGAAGCUUUUCACUGACUGAAGACUUGCAUUCUCUCCCUUUUUCAGCAUAGCCGUUAUGCCCGCUUAUAAACUUCCGUUUCUUCUCGCCACGAGCAUCCUCACUUGUCACAUCAACUUUCCUCUUCUUCUUCCCCAAAUUCAGCGUCUUACUUUUUUUAUCACGAACUUUCCAAACGUUCUUCUUUCUGAAAAGCAAUUUCUCAAAUUUCCACGGUGCACAGCUCGUAUCUAUCACCAUUACUUCAGUCCGUGAAAAUCCCAUCAAAUUGGCGUUGGACUUGUCCUCCUCUUCCGCUAAGUUCAAAUUAUGGCCCUCCUCUAAUAGCUUGACCUGAGAAUCCUUAAUUUCCACCCGACAUUUGUCCAGCGACUCAGUUUCUUCUUUCCUCUGACCACCCUCGACUACCG
Molecule: unclassified non-coding RNA, 512 nt
Filed under: Hevea brasiliensis (rubber tree)
Lineage: Eukaryota; Viridiplantae; Streptophyta; Magnoliopsida; Malpighiales; Euphorbiaceae
Source: RNAcentral